CAGGGGGAUAACCGGGAGAAAUCCCGACUAAUACCGCGUAACGCCGCGGACCUGCAUGGGUCUGCGGCCAAAGGAAGCGAUUCCGGCGGGGGAUGGGCAUGCGGCGCAUUAGCUAGUCGGCGGGGUAACGGCCCACCGAGGCGACGAUGCGUAGGGGUUCUGAGAGGAAGGUCCCCCACACUGGUACUGAGACACGGACCAGACUCCUACGGGAGGCAGCAGUGAGGAAUAUUGGUCAAUGGGCGGGAGCCUGAACCAGCCAAGUCGCGUGAGGGAAGACGGUCCUACGGAUUGUAAACCUCUUUUGCCGGGGAGCAACGGGGUCCUUGCGAGGGCCCAAUGAGAGUACCCGGAGAAAAAGCAUCGGCUAACUCCGUGCCAGCAGCCGCGGUAAUACGGAGGAUGCGAGCGUUAUCCGGAUUUAUUGGGUUUAAAGGGUGCGUAGGCGGGCUGUUAAGUCAGCGGUCAAAUGUCGGGGCUCAACCCCGGCCUGCCGUUGAAACUGGCGGCCUCGAGUGGGCGAGAAGUAUGCGGAAUGCGUGGUGUAGCGGUGAAAUGCAUAGAUAUCACGCAGAACUCCGAUUGCGAAGGCAGCAUACCGGCGCCCGACUGACGCUGAGGCACGAAAGCGUGGGUAUCGAACAGGAUUGGAUACCCUGGUAGUCCACGCAGUAAACGAUGAAUGCUAGCUGUCCGGGACUUCGGUCCUGGGUGGCACAG
This 720-nucleotide ribosomal RNA is filed under the name uncultured bacterium. RNAcentral describes it as "bacterial SSU rRNA". It matches the Rfam family "Bacterial small subunit ribosomal RNA", at positions 136 to 851 of the family's 1533-position model. The record is from RNAcentral.